UACAGAGGUCCCAAGCGUUGUUCGGAUUUACUGGGCGUAAAGGGUGCGUAGGUGGCUUGGUAAGUUGAAGGUGAAAUCUCGGGGCUUAACUCCGAAACUGCCUUCAAUACUGCCGGGCUCGAGGACUGUAGAGGAGAAUGGAAUUCACGGUGUAGCAGUGAAAUGCGUAGAUAUCGUGAGGAAGACCAGUGGCGAAGGCGAUUCUCUGGGCAGUUCCUGACACUGAGGCACGAAGGCUAGGGGAGCAAACGGG
Molecule: ribosomal RNA, 253 nt
Filed under: uncultured prokaryote
Description: partial 16S ribosomal RNA
Rfam family: Bacterial small subunit ribosomal RNA
Source: RNAcentral